AUCUCCAUAGUUCAAGGGAAAGAACAUAAGAUUUCUAAUCUUAUUAUCUCAGUUCGAGUCUGAGUGGAGAUA
This 72-nucleotide transfer RNA is filed under the name Crassvirales sp. Its description in RNAcentral is "tRNA-Arg". It matches the Rfam family "tRNA". Rfam says of the family: Transfer RNA (tRNA) molecules are approximately 80 nucleotides in length. Their secondary structure includes four short double-helical elements and three loops (D, anti-codon, and T loops). Further hydrogen bonds mediate the characteristic L-shaped molecular structure. tRNAs have two regions of fundamental functional importance: the anti-codon, which is responsible for specific mRNA codon recognition, and the 3' end, to which the tRNAs corresponding amino acid is attached (by aminoacyl-tRNA synthetases). tRNAs cope with the degeneracy of the genetic code in two manners: having more than one tRNA (with a specific anti-codon) for a particular amino acid; and 'wobble' base-pairing, i.e. permitting non-standard base-pairing at the 3rd anti-codon position. The record is from RNAcentral. Lineage: Duplodnaviria; Heunggongvirae; Uroviricota; Caudoviricetes; Crassvirales.